AUUGAACGCUGGCGGCAUGCUUUACACAUGCAAGUCGAACGGUAACAGGGUGCUUGCACCGCUGACGAGUGGCGAACGGGUGAGUAAUGCGUCGGAACGUGCCGAGUAGUGGGGGAUAACGCAUCGAAAGGUGUGCUAAUACCGCAUACGUACUGAGGUAGAAAGUGGGGGACCUUCGGGCCUCACGCUAUUCGAGCGGCCGACGUCUUAUUAGCUAGUUGGUGAGGUAAAGGCUCACCAAGGCGACGAUCAGUAGCGGGUCUGAGAGGAUGAUCCGCCACACUGGGACUGAGACACGGCCCAGACUCCUACGGGAGGCAGCAGUGGGGAAUUUUGGACAAUGGGCGCAAGCCUGAUUCAGCCAUGCCGCGUGUCUGAAGAAGGCCUUCGGGUUGUAAAGGACUUUUGUCCGGGAGCAAAUACCCAGUGCUAAUAACGCUGGGGGCUGAGAGUACCGGAAGAAUAAGCACCGGCUAACUACGUGCCAGCCGCCGCGGUAA
Molecule: ribosomal RNA, 500 nt
Filed under: uncultured bacterium
Lineage: Bacteria
Description: partial 16S ribosomal RNA
Rfam family: Bacterial small subunit ribosomal RNA
Source: RNAcentral